AGCAGUAGCCGCGGUAAAACGGAGGAUCCAAGCGUUAUCCGGAAUCAUUGGGUUUAAAGGGUCCGUAGGCGGUCUUGUAAGUCAGUGGUGAAAGCCCAUCGCUCAACGGUGGAACGGCCAUUGAUACUGCAGGACUUGAAUUAUUGGGAAGUAACUAGAAUAUGUAGUGUAGCGGUGAAAUGCUUAGAGAUUACAUGGAAUACCAAUUGCGAAGGCAGGUUACUACCAAUUGAUUGACGCUGAUGGACGAAAGCGUGGGUAGCGAACAGGAUUAGAUACCCCGGUAGUCCCUGUCUCUUAUAC
This 303-nucleotide ribosomal RNA is filed under the name uncultured bacterium. RNAcentral's name for it is "partial 16S ribosomal RNA". It matches the Rfam family "Bacterial small subunit ribosomal RNA", at positions 507 to 807 of the family's 1533-position model. The record is from RNAcentral.